Neopelma chrysocephalum (saffron-crested tyrant-manakin) is the source of this 171-nucleotide long non-coding RNA. RefSeq lists it as uncharacterized. The transcript is spliced from 2 exons. Lineage: Eukaryota; Metazoa; Chordata; Aves; Passeriformes; Pipridae. The record is from RefSeq and is a predicted model, not a curated record.
GCCUGGAGGAGACCCGGCCCUGCCUGCACGUCCUGCCCUGCCCCCCCGACGAGGAAUGAGGCUCCCGGUGACCUCGUGGGACGCUCCUCGGACCCCAAACUCGCCUGGAUUUCGCCCGAAACGCGCUUGGCUCCUCCCCCCGACCGCUCCCCCGAAUAAAGACCCGGCACU